UUUCAAAAAACAAAAGAACAGCAAAAAUAUUGCAAAUGCCGUGAGUAGAGGUACCACAAAACAUUGCAAAUAACUUGAACUUUCAAAAAACAAAAGAACAGCGAAAAUAUUGCAAAUGCCGUGGGUAGAGCUUCUAGGUACAUGGAUCGCUAUCUGCUAGGACAAGCCCUAUGUAUGUUCUGUAGAAUCAUAUAGAGAAAUUAAUCACAACAAAAUGGUAUCUCCAAGGCUACUACCACAACUGCAACAACAACCCAGCACAAAACAAAGAAUGUUGACUGCACACUAAUACAUACAAGAAACAGAGGCUCGGGCAA
Molecule: long non-coding RNA, 317 nt
Filed under: Triticum aestivum (bread wheat)
Lineage: Eukaryota; Viridiplantae; Streptophyta; Magnoliopsida; Poales; Poaceae
Description: long non-coding RNA (TAES_LNC017280)
Source: RNAcentral